AGGCACUGUGUUGACUUUUUAUCACUUAAAGUCGCCGAGGGAUAUGUAGAUAGACCUCUCGCUUAUGAUACUACAAUGCUAACAAUGCUAGACAACGAGAAUAUUUCUGCAUCCGGCACGUCAUGCACUAGCAUGAAAUAGUCAUGAAAUAGCAUAUUAGCUGUUGGUGCUGGAUGCAUUUGUAUUCAGAUGUUUCUAUUUCUAUUUAAUAUUUAAUAUUGUUCUUUAACAGGUUUUCCCAGGGGCUGCAGUUAAGGCAAAUUGAUAUGCUUCAGGAUGGUGUGGCAGGAAGCAGUCGGACGCUGUCAAAGAUGAGCUACAAAUUGAGAAAAGUAUGCCAGAGGGCAAUCAAGAGGAGAGAAAGAAGGGGAAAGCAGAGAAUUGUAAGAGGGAAUGAAUUUGUGAUGCUGGACGAAAGCAACUUCUACCACAAAAGGAAGGAAGAAGUCGAUGUUAACAGCAGAUGGACAAUUACUCUGCGGGCCUUCCCAUCUUCCUGCGGAAAGAGGCUGCUGGAUUUUUUAAGAACAGGAAUGCAGAAGAAAUUGACCUGCCAGACCUCUCGGAAGCAGCUGUAGCUAUUCUCACUGUCUCAAGUGACACAGACUCCCUUGCGAAGUUUGGUCCUGCUAUCCAUUCUAUAGUUUUUGAGGGAGAUUUGUGUGUGAUAUAGCGGAGUUGACAGAGGCAUUCAUUUUGCUGUUUGGCUUAAUUUAUGCGCUUCAUCUCGAUUAUCCAAAGCAAAUGUCCUACACAUUUAAUUUCAUUCAAAAAAAUAUACUGGGUUUGGAUGACCUGAAGCGGUUACCUCCUACUGCUUAGCCUUAAAAAUGAAUUGCUGAUGAUGAAUGAGUAAGAAGUCUGUUUUCCAAAUCUCAUGUUGGUACUGCCAGCAUGUUAAUACUCAAGCAAGCAGGGGGGGAAGAGUACCAUCUUUUAGUUAUUUUUAUGCUUUUAUUUAUGUUAUUUUUGUUGAGUAUUAUUACCUUUGUUGAAGAAAUGGUUUUUAUUUCUUUGGUUUUGAUAAACCCCAUUUCAAGGGAGGCUGUUCCGUUAGAAUUCAAAUGGAGUUCUUAAAUAAAUGGAAUCUGCAGUGAAAUUGUC
Molecule: long non-coding RNA, 1104 nt
Filed under: Gadus morhua (Atlantic cod)
Lineage: Eukaryota; Metazoa; Chordata; Actinopteri; Gadiformes; Gadidae
Description: lncRNA (ENSGMOG00000023753.1)
Source: RNAcentral